This 373-nucleotide ribosomal RNA is filed under the name uncultured organism. RNAcentral describes it as "bacterial SSU rRNA". It matches the Rfam family "Bacterial small subunit ribosomal RNA", at positions 526 to 896 of the family's 1533-position model. The record is from RNAcentral.
CGUAGGGUCCAAGCGUUAUCCGGAAUCACUGGGCGUAAAGCGUGCGUAGGUGGCGUGUUAAGUGAAAAUGUUAAAUCGUGUGGCUCAACCAUAUCGAUGCAUCUCAUACUGGCAUGCUAGAGGACAGCAGAGGCAAGUGGAAUUACGAGUGUAGCAGUGAAAUGCGUAGAUAUUCGUAGGAACACCAAUGGCGAAGGCAGCUUGCUGGGCUACUCCUGACACUGAGGUACGAAAGCGUGGGGAGCGAACAGGAUUAGAUACCCUGGUAGUCCACGCCGUAAACGAUGCAUACUAGUCUUAUGGGGUAUCGACCCCCUGUGAGACGAAGCUAACGCGAUAAGUAUGCCGCCUGGGAAGUACGGCCGCAAGGCUA